AGUUUGAUCCUGGCUCAGGAUGAACGCUAGCUACAGGCUUAACACAUGCAAGUCGAGGGGCAGCAUUGGGGUAGCAAUACUUCAGAUGGCGACCGGCGCACGGGUGAGUAACACGUAUCCAACCUGCCGCUUACUCGGGGAUAGCCUUUCGAAAGAAAGAUUAAUACCCGAUGGUAUAAAGAGUUCGCAUGUUCUCUUUAUUAAAGAAUUUCGGUAAGCGAUGGGGAUGCGUUCCAUUAGAUUGUUGGCGGGGUAACGGCCCACCAAGUCUACGAUGGAUAGGGGUUCUGAGAGGAAGGUCCCCCACAUUGGAACUGAGACACGGUCCAAACUCCUACGGGAGGCAGCAGUGAGGAAUAUUGGUCAAUGGACGAGAGUCUGAACCAGCCAAGUAAGCGCGAAGGAUGACUGCCCUAUGGGUUGUAAACUUCUUUUAUAAGGGAAUAAAGUGAGGGACGUGUCCCUUUUGUAUGUACCUUAUGAAUAAGGAUCGGCUAACUCCGUGCCAGCCGCCGC
Molecule: ribosomal RNA, 516 nt
Filed under: uncultured bacterium
Lineage: Bacteria
Description: bacterial SSU rRNA
Rfam family: Bacterial small subunit ribosomal RNA
Source: RNAcentral